Molecule: ribosomal RNA, 414 nt
Filed under: uncultured microorganism
Description: bacterial SSU rRNA
Rfam family: Archaeal small subunit ribosomal RNA
Source: RNAcentral
CAGCCGCCGCGGUAAUACCGGCGGCCCGAGUGGCGGUCACUAUUAUUGGGCUUAAAGCGUCCGUAGCCGGGUUGGGAAGUCCUCCGGGAAAUCUGGCCGCUUAACGGUCAGAAUGCCGGAGGAUACUCCCAGCCUAGGGAGCGGGAGAGGCCGAGGGUAUUCCCGGAGUAGGGGUGAAAUCCUAUAAUCCCGGGAGGACCACCUGUGGCGAAGGCGCUCGGCUGGAACGCGUCCGACGGUGAGGGACGAAGGCCAGGGGAGCAAACCGGAUUAGAUACCCGGGUAGUCCUGGCUGUAAACGAUGCGGACGUUGUGUCGGACAAGCUAUGAGCUUGUCCGGUGCCGGAGGGAAACCGUUAAGUCCGCCGCCUGGGGAGUACGGCCGCAAGGCUGAAACUUAAAGGAAUUGGCGGG